Molecule: ribosomal RNA, 253 nt
Filed under: uncultured bacterium
Lineage: Bacteria
Description: partial 16S ribosomal RNA
Rfam family: Bacterial small subunit ribosomal RNA
Source: RNAcentral
UACGUAGGGGGCUAGCGUUGUCCGGAAUCAUUGGGCGUAAAGCGCACGUAGGCGGAUUGCUAAGUCAGGGGUGAAAUCCUGGAGCUCAACUCCAGAACUGCCUUUGAUACUGGCGACCUUGAGUCCGGGAGAGGUGAGUGGAACUGCGAGUGUAGAGGUGAAAUUCGUAGAUAUUCGCAAGAACACCAGUGGCGAAGGCGGCUCACUGGCCCGGUACUGACGCUGAGGUGCGAAAGCGUGGGGAGCAAACAGG